GCACACAGCCAUCCAUCCUCCCCCUUCCCUCUCUCCCCUGUCCUCUCUCUCCGGGCUCCCACCGCCGCCGCGGGCCGGGGAGCCACCGGCCGCCACCAUGAGUUCCUUCAGCUACGAGCCGUACUACUCGACCUCCUACAAGCGGCGCUACGUGGAGACGCCCCGGGUGCACAUCUCCAGCGUGCGCAGCGGCUACAGCACCGCACGCUCAGCUUACUCCAGCUACUCGGCGCCGGUGUCUUCCUCGCUGUCCGUGCGCCGCAGCUACUCCUCCAGCUCUGGAUCGUUGAUGCCCAGUCUGGAGAACCUCGACCUGAGCCAGGUAGCCGCCAUCAGCAACGACCUCAAGUCCAUCCGCACGCAGGAGAAGGCGCAGCUCCAGGACCUCAAUGACCGCUUCGCCAGCUUCAUCGAGCGCGUGCACGAGCUGGAGCAGCAGAACAAGGUCCUGGAAGCCGAGCUGCUGGUGCUGCGCCAGAAGCACUCCGAGCCAUCCCGCUUCCGGGCGCUGUACGAGCAGGAGAUCCGCGACCUGCGCCUGGCGGCGGAAGAUGCCACCAACGAGAAGCAGGCGCUCCAGGGCGAGCGCGAAGGGCUGGAGGAGACCCUGCGCAACCUGCAGGCGCGCUAUGAAGAGGAGGUGCUGAGCCGCGAGGACGCCGAGGGCCGGCUGAUGGAAGCGCGCAAAGGCGCCGACGAGGCGGCGCUCGCUCGCGCCGAGCUCGAGAAGCGCAUCGACAGCUUGAUGGACGAAAUCUCUUUUCUGAAGAAAGUGCACGAAGAGGAGAUCGCCGAACUGCAGGCGCAGAUCCAGUACGCGCAGAUCUCCGUGGAGAUGGACGUGACCAAGCCCGACCUUUCCGCCGCGCUCAAGGACAUCCGCGCGCAGUACGAGAAGCUGGCCGCCAAGAACAUGCAGAACGCUGAGGAAUGGUUCAAGAGCCGCUUCACCGUGCUGACCGAGAGCGCCGCCAAGAACACCGACGCCGUGCGCGCCGCCAAGGACGAGGUGUCCGAGAGCCGUCGUCUGCUCAAGGCCAAGACCCUGGAAAUCGAAGCAUGCCGGGGCAUGAAUGAAGCGCUGGAGAAGCAGCUGCAGGAGCUGGAGGACAAGCAGAACGCCGACAUCAGCGCUAUGCAGGACACGAUCAACAAAUUAGAAAAUGAAUUGAGGACCACAAAGAGUGAAAUGGCACGAUACCUAAAAGAAUACCAAGACCUCCUCAACGUGAAGAUGGCUUUGGAUAUUGAGAUUGCAGCUUACAGGAAACUCUUGGAAGGCGAGGAGACCCGACUCAGUUUCACCAGCGUGGGAAGCAUAACCAGUGGCUACUCCCAGAGCUCCCAGGUCUUUGGCCGAUCUGCCUACGGCGGUUUACAGACCAGCUCCUAUCUGAUGUCCACCCGCUCCUUCCCGUCCUACUACACCAGCCAUGUCCAAGAGGAGCAGAUCGAAGUGGAGGAAACCAUUGAGGCUGCCAAGGAAGAGUCUGAAGAAGCAAAAGAAGAAGAAGAAGGAGGUGAAGGUGAAGAAGGAGAGGAAACCAAAGAAGCUGAAGAGGAGGAGAAGAAAGUUGAAGGUGCUGGGGAGGAACAAGCAGCUAAGAAGAAAGAUUGAACCCCCAUUUCCUUAAUUAUUUCAGGAAUAAUUCUCCCGAAAUCAGGUCAACCCCAUCACCAACCAACCAACCAGUUGAGUUCCAGAUUCUAUGUGAAUUAAAAAGUCAAUAUAUGUAUAAUUCUGAGAUGACUUAGGUUGGACAUUCAAUGUUGUGCUAUGAAUUUCCUCUUUAUGCAGAGUAUCUGUUUGCUUGCAGAGUGGCUUUCUGGCUUGCUGCCAGCCUGUGCAUGGACCACGCUUAUGAGUUCAGGAUCUACGGCAAUGUGAAUCAUUCAGAUGUUUACAAUAAAAAACACCACAUGAGUAAAUGAAUUCACUAAUGUUAAUGUUAAACUUCAUGGAAAAAUAGUCCUUUGAACCUUCGGUGGUUAGCAAUUAAAGACCCUGAGUUAUGUGCAAUAAAUAGUAAAUAAAGUUAUACCGAAUGAUGUAUUUUUUGCUGUGGUUGUUACUUAAUUAAAAUACCUUAAAGAUGGCACCAAUAUAAAGUAUAUACCAGUGGACUAUUGACCUCCAAUUUUUUAAAAAGUUGAAAUUUUAACAAUUACCAAUACUUUUUUUUCUUCCUUCAAUUGGAAAUUCUGAGGGAUACAGUUAUGUCAUGAUUACUUGUGAAAUCUCUCCCCACAAAAAUUUUACUGAUAAUAAACAUGAGUAAAUGAGAAAGUCUAUAAAUAACAAUAGACUUUGCCUCAUAACACGUGUUGUGUUAGGUUUUGGGAUGGCUUUCUAGGGAGCAAUUCUGAAAUUACUUGACAGAUACACUCUUUAUGGUAAACAGGUCAUUUCAGAGUCUAGAGUGCUAACCAUUACACUAUGGAACCAUGAUAAAUAGGUCAUUUCAAACUGAUAUGUCACAAUGCAAUAUGGAUAGAAUAUGAAUCCCAUACAUUCAUCCCUAUAACUGCAUUUUAAAAUAUAGUCUAAAUAUCAUGGGAGGAGGUUAAAACCUGAGAACAUGGUACAAUAAGAAGGAAUAAUUUUUUAUCUAUAUAUAAUUUCAGGAGAAGGGAUUAAAACUACCAAAGGUUAUUUGCCACUCCACUGCAAACAUGUUGCCUGCAAUCCUGAGCUCAUGAUUUAGUGUGUUGUUAAGCGUAAUUCUGUUGCCUCAAGUAAAUACCACUUAAUGCUACACAUUUUUAAACCUUUAAAAGCUACAGACACAAGUAAUGAAAUUAUGAGUCACUUAAGGGGGGAGGUAAUAUGCUUGUAUGUUACAUUGACAUUGCUCUGCAUGUCUCUACUGGGAGAUAUUUGGAUUUCAAUGAUAGCUUGACUGGUUGGACAUUGCAUCAAAUACACGCCCCAUGUAUCCUUUCUGUCGUAAAGUUAAGAACGCUCUUGCAUUUGAUGUGGAAUAAAUAUAGAUGAUAUUACUAUCUGCUAUUCUGCCUUUGUUCUGAAACAAUUGCUUUGUCAGCUAAUUUCAUUCAAUAUUUGUUUUUUAGACGAUCUCUAUAAGUUAUUAAUUUAACCUGAAACCAAAGUGGUCUCCAUUUAAAGUUACUUAAUCCCUUUGUACCACCUAUUUCUAGUUAAAUAUAUGUUGCUAUGCAAAUAGGUAAAGUGCUUCCUUGCCAUGAUGGUAAUGGAUUGGAACUAUGAAGGCUCUCAGUGUAUUGGCUUCUGUAAAGAUGAGGCGUCUCCUCAGAAACAAAACUUUUCACAUUUCUGCUUACUAGACCUGGGUUGAUGUACAUGGUAAGUCUCAAACAGAUGCAAGCUAUGUGCAAAAAGUAACUUUAGCCAAAUGGAAAUAGCUGGAUGCUUUGAGAAUUACUUGGUUGAAGUAAGAAAACUGUACCAUCCUCUAUCCUGUGUGCCAUAAUAAAAUAGUAAAAAACCUAAAU
This 3474-nucleotide long non-coding RNA is filed under the name Homo sapiens (human). RNAcentral's name for it is "non-protein coding lnc-NEFL-2:1". Lineage: Eukaryota; Metazoa; Chordata; Mammalia; Primates; Hominidae. The record is from RNAcentral.